This 24-nucleotide non-coding RNA is filed under the name Cricetulus griseus (Chinese hamster). Lineage: Eukaryota; Metazoa; Chordata; Mammalia; Rodentia; Cricetidae. The record is from RNAcentral.
GGGAAAAUCAAAACUUUAAACUGG